RNAcentral lists this transfer RNA (73 nucleotides) under Caulerpa lentillifera. RNAcentral's name for it is "tRNA-Asp". It matches the Rfam family "tRNA". Rfam says of the family: Transfer RNA (tRNA) molecules are approximately 80 nucleotides in length. Their secondary structure includes four short double-helical elements and three loops (D, anti-codon, and T loops). Further hydrogen bonds mediate the characteristic L-shaped molecular structure. tRNAs have two regions of fundamental functional importance: the anti-codon, which is responsible for specific mRNA codon recognition, and the 3' end, to which the tRNAs corresponding amino acid is attached (by aminoacyl-tRNA synthetases). tRNAs cope with the degeneracy of the genetic code in two manners: having more than one tRNA (with a specific anti-codon) for a particular amino acid; and 'wobble' base-pairing, i.e. permitting non-standard base-pairing at the 3rd anti-codon position. RNAcentral also lists the same sequence under 1 other name. The record is from RNAcentral. Lineage: Eukaryota; Viridiplantae; Chlorophyta; Ulvophyceae; Bryopsidales; Caulerpaceae.
GGGGAUGGGGCUUGGAUGGUUCGAGCGCUGGUUUGUCACAUCAGAGAAGCGGGUUCAAUUCCCGUCAUUCCCG